This is a long non-coding RNA of Lontra canadensis (Northern American river otter), 328 nucleotides long. RefSeq lists it as uncharacterized. The transcript has 3 exons. The record is from RefSeq and is a predicted model, not a curated record. NCBI's taxonomy places the organism in Eukaryota, Metazoa, Chordata, Mammalia, Carnivora, Mustelidae.
AGCACAGAGAGAAAAGCAAGCAGAAGCCAUGACAGGGGAAGGGGGAAGCAAGAUGUCACCGGCGACAGAGGAGGAAGACCACACUUAGUGAGAGAAGUGGGGCCAAGAACACUGAGGGGCUGUCAGCGCCUGAGUCAUUCCAAGCAAGACAGAACAUACGGGAAGAACUUGGGAAAAUUGAUGAGACAAAAGAAUUUUCAAAGAUAUAUAAACGUACCAGACUUCUGUGGGUCACUAAGUGCAGCAGUACUGACACAAAGACUUUCCCGAAAGAGGACACACAGAGAAGUGAUAAGAUAAUGAGACCAUUCUCCAAAACCCGCAGAUG